RNAcentral lists this ribosomal RNA (1408 nucleotides) under Salmonella enterica subsp. enterica serovar Agona. RNAcentral describes it as "partial 16S ribosomal RNA". It matches the Rfam family "Bacterial small subunit ribosomal RNA". Lineage: Bacteria; Pseudomonadati; Pseudomonadota; Gammaproteobacteria; Enterobacterales; Enterobacteriaceae. RNAcentral also lists the same sequence under 4 other names. The record is from RNAcentral.
GUAAUGUCUGGGAAACUGCCUGAUGGAGGGGGAUAACUACUGGAAACGGUGGCUAAUACCGCAUAACGUCGCAAGACCAAAGAGGGGGACCUUCGGGCCUCUUGCCAUCAGAUGUGCCCAGAUGGGAUUAGCUUGUUGGUGAGGUAACGGCUCACCAAGGCGACGAUCCCUAGCUGGUCUGAGAGGAUGACCAGCCACACUGGAACUGAGACACGGUCCAGACUCCUACGGGAGGCAGCAGUGGGGAAUAUUGCACAAUGGGCGCAAGCCUGAUGCAGCCAUGCCGCGUGUAUGAAGAAGGCCUUCGGGUUGUAAAGUACUUUCAGCGGGGAGGAAGGUGUUGUGGUUAAUAACCGCAGCAAUUGACGUUACCCGCAGAAGAAGCACCGGCUAACUCCGUGCCAGCAGCCGCGGUAAUACGGAGGGUGCAAGCGUUAAUCGGAAUUACUGGGCGUAAAGCGCACGCAGGCGGUCUGUCAAGUCGGAUGUGAAAUCCCCGGGCUCAACCUGGGAACUGCAUUCGAAACUGGCAGGCUUGAGUCUUGUAGAGGGGGGUAGAAUUCCAGGUGUAGCGGUGAAAUGCGUAGAGAUCUGGAGGAAUACCGGUGGCGAAGGCGGCCCCCUGGACAAAGACUGACGCUCAGGUGCGAAAGCGUGGGGAGCAAACAGGAUUAGAUACCCUGGUAGUCCACGCCGUAAACGAUGUCUACUUGGAGGUUGUGCCCUUGAGGCGUGGCUUCCGGAGCUAACGCGUUAAGUAGACCGCCUGGGGAGUACGGCCGCAAGGUUAAAACUCAAAUGAAUUGACGGGGGCCCGCACAAGCGGUGGAGCAUGUGGUUUAAUUCGAUGCAACGCGAAGAACCUUACCUGGUCUUGACAUCCACGGAAGUUUUCAGAGAUGAGAAUGUGCCUUCGGGAACCGUGAGACAGGUGCUGCAUGGCUGUCGUCAGCUCGUGUUGUGAAAUGUUGGGUUAAGUCCCGCAACGAGCGCAACCCUUAUCCUUUGUUGCCAGCGGUUAGGCCGGGAACUCAAAGGAGACUGCCAGUGAUAAACUGGAGGAAGGUGGGGAUGACGUCAAGUCAUCAUGGCCCUUACGACCAGGGCUACACACGUGCUACAAUGGCGCAUACAAAGAGAAGCGACCUCGCGAGAGCAAGCGGACCUCAUAAAGUGCGUCGUAGUCCGGAUUGGAGUCUGCAACUCGACUCCAUGAAGUCGGAAUCGCUAGUAAUCGUGGAUCAGAAUGCCACGGUGAAUACGUUCCCGGGCCUUGUACACACCGCCCGUCACACCAUGGGAGUGGGUUGCAAAAGAAGUAGGUAGCUUAACCUUCGGGAGGGCGCUUACCACUUUGUGAUUCAUGACUGGGGUGAAGUCGUAACAAGGUAACCGUAGGGGAACCUGC